Molecule: ribosomal RNA, 494 nt
Filed under: uncultured bacterium
Lineage: Bacteria
Description: partial 16S ribosomal RNA
Rfam family: Bacterial small subunit ribosomal RNA
Source: RNAcentral
GACGAACGCUGGCGGCGUGCCUAAUACAUGCAAGUCGAGCGGACUUAAAAAGCUUGCUUUUUAAGUUAGCGGCGGACGGGUGAGUAACACGUGGGCAACCUGCCUGUAAGACUGGGAUAACUUCGGGAAACCGGAGCUAAUACCGGAUAAUCCUUUUCUACUCAUGUAGAAAAGCUGAAAGACGGUUUACGCUGUCACUUACAGAUGGGCCCGCGGCGCAUUAGCUAGUUGGUGAGGUAACGGCUCACCGAGGCGACGAUGCGUAGCCGACCUGAGAGGGUGAUCGGCCACACUGGGACUGAGACACGGCCCAGACUCCUACGGGAGGCAGCAGUAGGGAAUCUUCCGCAAUGGACGAAAGUCUGACGGAGCAACGCCGCGUGAGUGAUGAAGGUUUUCGGAUCGUAAAACUCUGUUGUUAGGGAAGAACAAGUACGAGAGUAACUGCUCGUACCUUGACGGUACCUAACCAGAAAGCCACGGCUAACUACGUG